Molecule: long non-coding RNA, 2959 nt
Organism: Homo sapiens (human)
Lineage: Eukaryota; Metazoa; Chordata; Mammalia; Primates; Hominidae
Exons: 2
Source: RefSeq, a predicted model, not a curated record
ACUUCACAUGCACGCAAAGCCUGGAGUUGCAUAAUGGCUUUUCCGUGGAGCCGGAGGGAACUGGCUGGAAGCAGCAGGAGUGAUUUAGUGACCUCAAGUGUUGUAAGGAUCUGCUUAAAACACUGUGUGAUGCUAAGCACCUUCACAUGAAGAAUCCAACCCUCCAGCAAAUUGCAUUUUGCAGUAAAAAGUGAUCUCCUGCAGUUCUCCUGUAUUUUUCAUCAUGGUUAGUGCAACAUUAUAAACUUUGAAUAACACCAUGGGACACAUACAAAGUACCACUAAUGACGCUGGAAGUGCUCCUAAAAAGCAGAGAAAAGGCAUGACAUUACAAGAAAAAGUUGAAUUGAAAAAGUCGAAAAAUAUGCACCAUGGAUUGAGGUCUGCAGCUCUGGCUGCCCACCAUUUUAAAAUUAAUGAAUCCAGUGUAAGGACUAUUGUAAAAAUAGUGAAGUCAUCGUGCCAGCUGUGCCAACAGGUGUGAAAACCUUGGACUUACUGUGAAACAGGUUGUUAUCUCAUGUUGAAAAUGCAGCUCUUGUGUGGGUGCAGGAUUGCUAUAAAAAGGCAUAUCCUAUAAACUCUAAUAUGAUUCAAGAAAAAACCAAGUCAUUAUAUGACAACUUAAAGCAAAAGGAAGGAUCUAAAGCCUGAGAAUUUAAUGGCAAAAAAGGAUGAUUUGAUAAUUUUAGAAAGUGAUUUGGCCUUUAAAAUGUCAAAAUAACAGGAAUAGCAGCUUUUGCCAACUUAGAGGCAGCAGAGAACUUCCCAGGCACCAUCACGAAAAGCACUGAGGAGAAAGGAUAUCUGCCUGAAUAGGUUUUUAUGCAGAUGAAAGUACUCUAUUCUGUAAAAACAAAAAAAAAUGCCACAAAGGGCAUUUAUUAGUAAGAAAGAGAAGUGGGCACCAGGAUUUAGGGCAGGAAGGGAUAGGCUAAUGCUACUGUUUUGUGCAAAUGCAAUCAGGUUUAUGAUUAGGAGUGCUCUUAUCUGUAAAGCUGCUAACCCUAGAGCCUUGAAGGGAAGAGAUAAACUCCAACUGCCAGUCUUUUGGUUGUACAACAAGAAGGCCUGGACAAUGAGAACACUUUUUCUGGAUUGAUUCCAUUGAUGCUUUGUCCCUGAAAGUCAGGAAGUUCCUUGCCAUUAAGAGACUGCAUUUUAAAGUUAUUUCACUAUCAGACAAUGCUCCUUGGCCACCUCUGGGUGAACCCAUGAGUUCAACACUGAAGAUGUCCAAGUGGUCUACUUGCCCCCAACACAACGUCUCUAAUUCAGCUUCUAGAUGAGACAAGCAUAAGGACAACUAAGUUGCAUUACAUAUAGUAUUCUAUGGGAAGGAUUGUCAAUGCUAUGGAAGAGAACCUCAAGAAAAUCUGGACGGAUUAAUUACACCAUUGAAAAUGUCAUUGUUGUCAUAGUAAAAGCUGUGAAAUCUAUCAAGCCCAAAACAAUAAAUUCCUGCUAGAGAAAUCUGUGUCCAUAUGUGCAAGAUUUCACAGAAUUUAUGACAGAGCCAAUCAAGGAAAUCAUAAAAGAGAUUGUGGAUAUGGCAAGAAGGUAGAGGAUGAAGAGUUUAGAGAUAUGGCUGUUGGAGAAAUUCAAGAGCUGACAGACACUACACUAGAGGAAUUAACAGAAGACGACUAAUGAAGAUGAAUGCUUCUGAACCAGUGUCAGAUGAUGAGGAAGAAGACAUAGAAGAAGCAGUGCCAGAAAACAAAUUGACAAUAGAUGAUCUGGCAGAAGGAUUUUGAUUAAACAAGAUGGCAUUUGACUUAUUUGAUGACAUAGACCCUUCUAUGAUGGGGCACUGAAACCAAAGCAAAUGAUGGAAGAAGAAUUGAUACUAUAUAGAAACAUCUUUAGAGAAAUGAAAAAGCAAAAAUGUCAGACAGAAAUUAUGAUGUAUUUCCACAAAGUUACACCAAGUGUGCUUGUCUCCACUGUCUCCCCUUCCACCUCCUCCUCCCCUGCUUCCCUGAGACAGCAAGACCAACCUCUUCUCUUCCUCCUCCUUAGCCUACUCAACCUGAAGAUGACAAGGAUGAAGAUCUUCCUGAUGAUCCACUUCCACUUAAUGAAUAUCAAAUAUAUUUUCUCUUCCUUAUGAUUUUCUUAAUAACAUUUUUCUGUAGCUUACUGUAUUAUAAAAAUACAGUAUAUAAUACAUAUACAGAAUAUGUGUUAAUCAACUGUUUAUGUUAUUGGUAAGUCUUCCAGUCAAUAGUAGGCUAUUAGUAGUUAAGUUUUGGGGAAGUCAAAAGUUAUAUAUGGAGUUUCAACUAUGCAAGUGGUUAACGUCUCUAACCUCCAUAUUGUUCAAGGGUCAACUGUAUGCCCCUCCAAAGAAGGCUUAACCUAGUGUUUCAUCAGUAACUGUAUCCCUUCAAAAUCCUGGAUCUCUGCAUGAUGGAUGUUUGUUCUUGUAGUUCUGUCAUUAUUUUGUUUCAAUAUUCCACAACCUAAGGUCUGAAUUGUAGGAUUAUCUACAACCAUCAGACUCCAUACAACAGUGAUGUAAAGGAAGAGGGGAUGAGGAAAAUAAAUUAAAUUGUAUCAUUAUAUAUUAAUACAUGGCCCCUUAGGAAGAAAAUGUGGUAGGUUCAGUGUCUGUUUCUGUAAUGGCCAUAGUUUUCACUUAUGGAUUUCUUCUUCUAGCACCCAUUCCAUGUUCUUAUGGCCUUAACCAGCCUUUUAUAUGGAUUUUGACUCGUUGGGUAGUCCAGCCUUCAUCCUGAGGGAGUUGAACCCUUAUUGCCUUGCUUGUAUAGAGUUACUGUAGUCUUCUCUGAACUUUUACACUGUACGUGGUGGCCCUGAAGGGUCCGUAGGAAUUACCUGGGUUCUAGGAAUAGCCUCUUCCCCCAUUGUGCAGCAUAAACCUUAUUUACUAUAUUACAUUAUUUACCAUGUUUCCACUGAUUUUGUUAAAUAAAUGCUUCUCAAUUUGUUGUAA